UGCCAGACUCCUACGGGAGGCAGCAGUGAGGGAUAUUGGGCAAUGGGGGAAACCCUGACCCAGCGACGCCGCGUGAGGGAAGACGGUCUUCGGAUUGUAAACCUCUGUCUUUGGGGACGAAAAAGGACGGUACCCAAGGAGGAAGCUCCGGCUAACUACGUGCCAGCAGCCGCGGUAAUACGUAGGGAGCGAGCGUUGUCCGGAUUUACUGGGUGUAAAGGGCGUGUAGCCGGGCUGACAAGUCAGAUGUGAAAUUCCGGGGCUCAACCCCGGACCUGCAUUUGAAACUGUUGGUCUUGAGUAUCGGAGAGGCAGGCGGAAUUCCUAGUGUAGCGGUGAAAUGCGUAGAUAUUAGGAGGAACACCAGUGGCGAAGGCGGCCUGCUGGACGACAACUGACGGUGAGGCGCGAAAGCGUGGGGAGCAAACAGGAUUAGAUACCCCAGUA
RNAcentral lists this ribosomal RNA (447 nucleotides) under uncultured bacterium. RNAcentral describes it as "bacterial SSU rRNA". It matches the Rfam family "Bacterial small subunit ribosomal RNA", at positions 329 to 792 of the family's 1533-position model. The record is from RNAcentral.